GGGGACCUUCGGGGCCCUUCAACUGGCCGGGCGGGACACCGUCCGCAAAGCAACGGAAAGACAGAGAA
Molecule: non-coding RNA, 68 nt
Filed under: unclassified sequences
Description: L2-Alphaproteobacteria ribosomal protein leader
Rfam family: L2-Alphaproteobacteria ribosomal protein leader
Source: RNAcentral